GACGAACGCUGGCGGCGUGCUUAACACAUGCAAGUCGAGCGGUAAGGCCCUUUCGGGGGUACACGAGCGGCGAACGGGUGAGUAACACGUGGGUGACCUGCCCUCAGCUCUGGGAUAAGCCUGGGAAACCGGGUCUAAUACUGGAUAUGACUCCAUGACGCAUGUUGUGGGGUGGAAAGCCUUGUGCGGCUGAGGAUGGGCCCGCGGCCUAUCAGCUUGUUGGUGGGGUGAGGCCUACCAAGGCGACGACGGGUAGCCGGCCUGAGAGGGCGACCGGCCACACUGGGACUGAGACACGGCCCAGACUCCUACGGGAGGCAGCAGUGGGGAAUCUUGCGCAACGGGCGAAAAGCCUGACGCAGCGACGCCGCGUGAGGGAUGACGGCCU
This 388-nucleotide ribosomal RNA is filed under the name uncultured bacterium. Its description in RNAcentral is "bacterial SSU rRNA". It matches the Rfam family "Bacterial small subunit ribosomal RNA", at positions 28 to 417 of the family's 1533-position model. The record is from RNAcentral.